GCGCUCUGGAGAAUCCCGUCCCCGGGACGGGUGCCGAAGGUGCAAGACGGUGCGGAAGCCCGCGCCGGGAAUCUCUCAGGCCAAAGGACAGAGC
RNAcentral lists this non-coding RNA (94 nucleotides) under human gut metagenome. RNAcentral describes it as "Glycine riboswitch". It matches the Rfam family "Glycine riboswitch aptamer", at positions 8 to 87 of the family's 94-position model. From Rfam's summary of the family: This family represents the bacterial glycine riboswitch. The record is from RNAcentral.